CCCUUCCGUAGGGUGAACCUGCGGAAGGAUCAUUACUGUGAUUUACUACUACACUGCGUGAGCGGAACGAAAACAACAACACCUAAAAUGUGGAAUAUAGCAUAUAGUCGACAAGAGAAAUCUACGAAAAAACAAACAAAACUUUCAACAACGGAUCUCUUGGUUCUCGCAUCGAUGAAGAGCGCAGCGAAAUGCGAUACCUAGUGUGAAUUGCAGCCAUCGUGAAUCAUCGAGUUCUUGAACGCACAUUGCGCCCCUCGGCAUUCCGGGGGGCAUGCCUGUUUGAGCGUCGUUUCCAUCUUGCGCGUGCGCAGAGUUGGGGGAGCGGAGCGGACGACGUGUAAAGAGCGUCGGAGCUGCGACUCGCCUGAAAGGGAGCGAAGCUGGCCGAGCGAACUAGACUUUUUUUCAGGGACGCUUGGCGGCCGAGAGCGAGUGUUGCGAGACAACAAAAAGCUCGACCUCAAAUCAGGUAGGAAUACCCGCUGAACUUAAGCAUAUCAAUAAGCGGAGGAAAAGAAACCAACAGGGAUUGCCUCAGUAGCGGCGAGUGAAGCGGCAAGAGCUCAGAUUUGAAAUCGUGCUUUGCGGCACGAGUUGUAGAUUGCAGGUUGGAGUCUGUGUGGAAGGCGGUGUCCAAGUCCCUUGGAACAGGGCGCCCAGGAGGGUGAGAGCCCCGUGGGAUGCCGGCGGAAGCAGUGAGGCCCUUCUGACGAGUCGAGUUGUUUGGGAAUGCAGCUCCAAGCGGGUGGUAAAUUCCAUCUAAGGCUAAAUACUGGCGAGAGACCGAUAGCGAACAAGUACUGUGAAGGAAAGAUGAAAAGCACUUUGAAAAGAGAGUGAAACAGCACGUGAAAUUGUUGAAAGGGAAGGGUAUUGCGCCCGACAUGGGGAUUGCGCACCGCUGCCUCUCGUGGGCGGCGCUCUGGGCUUUCCCUGGGCCAGCAUCGGUUCUUGCUGCAGGAGAAGGGGUUCUGGAACGUGGCUCUUCGGAGUGUUAUAGCCAGGGCCAGAUGCUGCGUGCGGGGACCGAGGACUGCGGCC
RNAcentral lists this ribosomal RNA (1044 nucleotides) under Pichia kudriavzevii. Its description in RNAcentral is "eukaryotic LSU rRNA". The stretch from base 459 to 1044 matches the Rfam family "Eukaryotic large subunit ribosomal RNA", at positions 1 to 600 of the family's 3401-position model. The record is from RNAcentral. Lineage: Eukaryota; Fungi; Ascomycota; Pichiomycetes; Pichiales; Pichiaceae.